AACCCCAAAAACGCUAUUGCGACCAUGGGCCACCAUACACGUGACUUUUUUAAACAAAGGACGCUUAAAUUGGUCUACGGCAUGAUAAAGCAUUUUAAAUUCACUCGAAAAUACUCCAAUCACAAAAAGUCUAAUCUAUAAAAGUACAAGACGAUAAUUCGAUGAUUAUGAUUAGGCCAGUCACGUGUUAAUUUGACCGUGAUGUGUAUAUCAGAGAUAUACUGUACAGGUAGUGGUAAAAACUAUGUGUAGUGCCUGUGACGUCACAAGCCAAUCAACCAGAUUAAGGUCGUAAUUGAAAAAUUGAAAAGCGUUUUUGCGUGUCGGAUACUCAAACGUUAAUAGCCGAAUUAAUUUUAAUCAGAUUGGCGUGAACUUGCCGUAAAGUGGAUAUAGUGACUAUUGGCUACACGUAGCCUAGCGAAAAAAAAAUUUGGCCAUCUUAUGUGGUCUUUAAAUCGGAUAAAAGUUGUGACCUAGAGGGACAAACAAGGGGAAUAAUUCAGGAAGUUAAUAUCUGAUAUGCGCGAAUAUCAAAAGGAACCAAGAUCUUUAUGGGUUAUUAACAGGUAUUUCAAGAUUUUUAUCAAAAUCAGAUUAAAAUUGUGACCUCUCACCCGAUGCAACUGAGGUACACCCUAUUCAAUAAGCCUCUAUGAUUCAGUUCCACCCGGUUCAACAGGGGGUAUAUUAUAAUAUAAUAAUAUUGAGGUUGGUCGAUUAAGUAGGGUAGAAUAAUAAUACCAUAGCCUUAUGUACAUACACGCAUUAGCCAAUCAGAUUUCGUGUCUACGUCUUCAGAGUCUAAUGACGUAGGCUGGUAGUUUUAGGCGCGAUACAUCUUGGACCAGAUUAUUAGAGGAGUACUGGGCCCUGUUUCUCGAAAUUUUAACUAAAGAUAAAAUCCAAUUUUAUUAGAUACUUCAAUUUUGAUUGGCUAAGCACUAAAAUCAAUCUAAUAUUAUACAAUCAAAUUACUAAAAUUUGGAUUUUAUCUUAGUUAAAAUUUCGUGAAACAGGCCCCAGUACGAAUUUACCUUUACGAUGUCGACGACGAAACAGGUUUCUUCCACCCCUACACUGCCACAGUAAGAGGUAAGAUUCUAAAUACUUUGCACAGGUCCAGAUUCUAAAAUAGAAUGGAAUAGACUUGACUAGGUCGUAACUAGGCUAGCCUCCUCAACUACGGUAGGCCUUUAUUUUCAUUUUUAACUAGGCUAGCCUAGAUUUUAUUUCUAGAUUUAGCCUAGUGCCUUGCCUUCUUUGGCCUCAAAUCCUAGAUUAUAAAUCGGCUAGACCUUGUGACUGUGUACUUGGGCCUAGUCUGUUUGAUUCAUGUUUUCAUAUUACAAUUCAGACAAUUGCCAAGGCCUUGUUGACGUUGUGACUGGCUGAGGGCCGUAGGGCCACAAGGGCUAGGCCCAGUUCUUAAAAUGUACGAACUUUACCACGAUGUACAGCAAUAAUGGAUUAGCAGAUUAUGCAUGCAUAUUACAUUUUUAAAAUAUUGCGCUGGGUUUUCAUUUUAUCAAUUUGACAAGACUGCUAUGCCGGUAGUCGAUCCAAGGGUGGUAGCGAGUGCGCCCUCGUACCUCGUUUUGAAUUUAAAAAUAAAACUGACCUUGAACUAGAAAAAAAGGCUUAGGCCCAAGAAGCUUCGGUUAGAUCUAAAUAUUAAGCCCACCUGCAAUUUUCGUCAAGGUCACGAGAUGUAAACAGGGCUAGCGCUAACCCUAGACCUAACCCUAACCCACAUUCCCCAGGAACAAAUUAAAUCACGUUCUCUCUAGGGCUUAAGCCUGUGGUGUUUACAUCUCAUUACCAUGACGAAACCUAUCGGUGGCCUUGAUAUUUAGUAAUUUACACCGGGGGUCACGGUGACUACGUGGGUAAGACGCUGGCUCGCUAGCCUGGAGGUCGGGUGUUCGAUCCCUGCAUUGGCCGAGAAAGUCCAUCCCGAUUUUCCGGUGUGGUUACCCUUGUCAGUGAUGCAGGACGGAGGGCCUGGCAAGGACAGCUGUCUAGUCGUUCGGAUGGAACGGACAACCGAGGUCCCGUGUACACAUUGGCGUGCACGUAAAAGAUCCCUUGACAGAGUAGGCCAUAGUGCCGCUGUCUGGGGAAAAUUUCCCUCAUAGCACACUGUAUGGCGUAUGCCCGUCUUCAUUAGCCCAGUUAGGAGCAGAACAGUAGGACGUUAAACCCCAUUUCAUUUCAUUUCAUUUCCUACGUUCCAUAGGCCUAUGCGUGAGUAUUUGCUCUACAGAAGCGGCAAUAUCGGUCUCAAUGCGAAGAAUACAGUCGAAUUCGGUUAGAUUAUAGAUAAUUUUAAAUUAAAAGGGAACGGACAUGGUACCACUUUUACGUUUUCAUUUCACAGAUCAACACAGCAGCUCACUGGUUUUGAAAUUAAUAUUUAAUAAUAAUAAUAAUAUAAGAUAUAGUUUUCUUUCAAACGAGUCCCUGUAAAUUUAAAUACUUCGACUCUUCGAGAGUUUCUUUAAAAAUAAAACGGCUCUUUAAUGUCGUAGGGGGUGUACACAAUGAAGACAUUUCUAUAGCUGACAUACAUUUAUUAUAUUUUCCAGAUACAUCUAUUUAUUCCUAAAUCAAGAACAUGCUUCUUUCUUAGAAGUUUUGGGAGUUCUCUCCCCUUGAUUCCCAAAAAGGGAAAAUACUCUCAUUUACAGCUAACAUACGGACUAAGACUAGUAAUUAUUUCCCCUUAUUUCAUGAUGGACGAAUGUAGUGCGAGUUAUAAAUAGACAAUUUUUCCCUUAAUUUUUUUCUCCCCUCUUCCUGCAUUUUUGGGUUGACUUUUUGGUCUAGAAUUGGAGAAAAGGGAUCAAAUUUGCAAUUUCAUAGCAGUUUUGGGUAAUACUGAUGAUAUUACAGCGGAGGGAUAGGGGGUGUAAAGUGUCUUUCUGCAGAGCAAUCAUUGUGUCGGAAGUGAGAUUUCCACCCCUGUCAACUUCAAAUCUGUGUAGCAAAAAAUCUAAAUGGUCAACCCCCUACAAAAUUAUGAUGAGGAGAUUGCCAAAUGUUGUCCCCAUUGUGCCUAUAAAGAUUGGAACCAACGGAAUGUUGAGCAAAAAGCUACAGCCUGUGAUGUUACAGUCAUUUAACAUUGAAGUCAAUGGGCAAAUAAUUGCUAGUCUGAGUCCUGAUGAAAUAAUGAAGCAUGGCCGACUCGGGAUGUUGAUAUUUUUUCAACGGCUUGUUUCCUGAAGUUUUGAAUGGAAAGUGUCAGAAAUGGUGCCCAGGUAAUGUUUCAUAGAGUGGAAUGAUUGACCUCAACACAAGUAUUAAAAAAAAAAGAAGCAAAACAGGUCUACAUCUCAAAACCUGAUCUCUUCCUGAACUGGCUUUAGGAGAACGAUGAUGCAUAUCAAUUUCAUCCCUGAUCUCUAUGACACCUGUGGUGGAAGUGGAGGGCAAAUCGUAAUCAGUUUGGGUUCCAGCCCCGAGGACCUUUGUAAACUUUGCUUUUUGGUGAUGACUUAAUUUCCGAGCUUGAAAAGGACGCUUGUGUGUUUAUCAUGGCCUCUCAUAUUGGAAGAUAACAUUAAUGGCUUGUGUGUUGAUCGACGGUUGUGCAUAUCUCUUGGUCAGGAAAGUUGUAGGCACCAUCGCCAUUGUAAAUCAUUUGACAGGCCCGAGUGAACGGGGCGACCUAUGAUUGGUCAGCAAUGUAUCAGAUUCCAUACCGGGGGGUGGGGAUGAAAAAACUGUUGUAGUGUUACAUAAUCAGAUUAUUUCAACUUACUUAUCCUGUGGAAAUACAGCUAUAUAGGAGAUAUUUUGAAAUUCAUAGGCACUGCAUGUUUCAACAUUUUAGAUUUGACCACAAUUUGGCACUUGAAACUAUGUUAACAGAGAAAAACUGUGUGGUUUUCGAUGAAAGUGUUAAAAGUCUAAUAUUGCAUCAUGAUUACUGUUUUAAAGUAUUUUCGUGUUUGAUUUAUAUUGAAUUCAUCUCAUCUUUUUGAAGAAUGCAUUUAUGUUCAAAAAUAAAAAUGUUCUGUGGAAUUCAAAAUUGAUGUGCUUUUAAAUUAUCAGAUUCCAAACUGGGGGUGGGGAUGAAAAAGCUGUUGUAGUGUUACAUAAUCAGAUUAUUUCAACUUACUUAUCCUAUGGAAAUACAGCUAUAUAGGAGAUAUUUUAAAAUUGAUAGGCACUGCAUGUUUCAACAUUUUAGAUUUGACCACAAUUUGGCACUUGAAACUACGUUAACAGAGAAAAACUGUGUGGUUUUCGAUGAAAGUGUUAAAAAGUCUAAUAUUGCAUCAUGAUUACUGUUUUAAAGUAUUUUCGUGUUAGAUUUAUAUUGAAUUUAUCUCAUCUUUUUACAGAAUGCAUUUAUGUUCAA
Long non-coding RNA from Patella vulgata (common limpet), 4369 nucleotides. RefSeq lists it as uncharacterized. The record is from RefSeq and is a predicted model, not a curated record. The transcript has 3 exons. NCBI's taxonomy places the organism in Eukaryota, Metazoa, Mollusca, Gastropoda, Patellidae.